This 187-nucleotide non-coding RNA is filed under the name Lysinibacillus sphaericus. Lineage: Bacteria; Bacillati; Bacillota; Bacilli; Caryophanales; Bacillaceae. The record is from RNAcentral.
ACCAUUAUAGAACGUAUUGGUGCAAAUGGCAUUUGUCAUUUGCUUAAAAGGGAAAUCGGUGCAAUUCCGAUGCUGUCCCGCAACUGUAAAUGGGGAGUCUGUACAGCAUGCCACUGUAGUUUAACUAUGGGAAGGCGUAUAGAUGAUGAACCUAAGCCAGGAUACCUGCCAGUAUGUGUUUUUUGAC